AGAGUUUGAUCAUGGCUCAGAUUGAACGCUGGCGGCAUGCCUUACACAUGCAAGUCGAACGGUACGGGCCUUCGGGUGCCGACGAGUGGCGAACGGGUGAGUAAUGCAUCGGAACGUACCUUCAGUGGGGGAUAACGUAGCGAAAGUUACGCUAAUACCGCAUAUUCUGUGAGCAGGAAAGCAGGGGAUCGCAAGACCUUGCGCUGAUUGAGCGGCCGAUGUCAGAUUAGCUAGUUGGUGAGGUAAAGGCUCACCAAGGCGACGAUCUGUAGCGGGGUCUGAGAGGAUGAUCCGCCACACUGGAACUGAGACACGGUCCAGACUCCUACGGGAGGCAGCAGUGGGGAAUUUUGGACAAUGGGGGCAACCCUGAUCCAGCCAUGCCGCGUGAGUGAAGAAGGCCUUCGGGUUGUAAAGCUCUUUCGGCCGGGAAGAAAUCGCAUGGGUUAAUACCCUGUGCGGAUGACGGUACCGGCAUAAGAAGCACCGGCUAACUACGUG
RNAcentral lists this ribosomal RNA (501 nucleotides) under uncultured bacterium. RNAcentral's name for it is "bacterial SSU rRNA". It matches the Rfam family "Bacterial small subunit ribosomal RNA", at positions 8 to 507 of the family's 1533-position model. The record is from RNAcentral.